RNAcentral lists this ribosomal RNA (1316 nucleotides) under Chaetothyriomycetidae sp. TRN242. Its description in RNAcentral is "LSU rRNA". It matches the Rfam family "Eukaryotic large subunit ribosomal RNA", at positions 73 to 1409 of the family's 3401-position model. Lineage: Eukaryota; Fungi; Ascomycota; Eurotiomycetes. The record is from RNAcentral.
GAUUACCCUAGUAACGGCGAGUGAAGCGGUAACAGCUCAAAUUUGAAAUCUGGCCUUCACGGGUCCGAGUUGUAAUUUGUAGAGGAUGUUUCGGGCAAGGCUCUGGUUUAAAUUUCUUGGAACAGAAUGUCAUAGAGGGUGAGAGUCCCGUCUAGAACCGAUGGCCGCGUCCAUGUGAAACUCCUUCGACGAGUCGAGUUGUUUGGGAAUGCAGCUCAAAAUGGGUGGUAAAUUUCAUCUAAAGCUAAAUAUUGGCCAGAGACCGAUAGCGCACAAGUAGAGUGAUCGAAAGAUGAAAAGCACUUUGAAAAGAGAGUUAAACAGUAUGUGAAAUUGUUGAAAGGGAAGCGCUUGCGACCAGACUUGCGUGUAGCGGUUCCCCCAGUCUUCUGACUGGGCUAUUCCGUUAUAUCCAGGCCAGCAUCGGUUCGGGUGGUCGGUCAAAGGCCUUGGGAAUGUAUCUACCUUCGGGUCGACUUAUAGCCCAGGGUGUAAUGCGGCCUACCUGGACCGAGGAACGCGCUUCGGCUCGGAUGCUGGCGUAAUGGUUGUAAGCGGCCCGUCUUGAAACACGGACCAAGGAGUCUAACAUCUAUGCGAGUGUUAGGGUGUCAAACCCUUGCGCGUAAUGAAAGUGAACGGAGGUAAGAACCCUUAAGGGCGCAUUAUCGACCGAUCCUGAUGUCUUCGGAUGGAUUUGAGUAAGAGCAUAGCUGUUGGGACCCGAAAGAUGGUGAACUAUGCCUGAAUAGGGUGAAGCCAGAGGAAACUCUGGUGGAGGCUCGCAGCGGUUCUGACGUGCAAAUCGAUCGUCAAAUUUGGGUAUAGGGGCGAAAGACUAAUCGAACCAUAGGGUAGCUGGUUCCUGUCGAAGUUUCCCUCAGGAUAGCAGUAACGUUUUCAGUUUUAUGAGGUAAAGCGAAUGAUUAGAGGCCUUGGGGUUGAAACAACCUUAACCUAUUCUCAAACUUUAAAUAUGUAAGAAGUCCUUGUUACUUAAUUGAACGUGGACAUUUGAAUGUACCGUUACUAGUGGGCCAUUUUUGGUAAGCAGAACUGGCGAUGCGGGAUGAACCGAACGUGAGGUUAAGGUGCCGGAAUAUACGCUCAUCAGACACCACAAAAGGUGUCAAUGCAUCCAGACAGCCGGACGGUGGCCAUGGAAGUCGGAAUCCGCUUAGGAGUGUGUAACAACUCACCGGCCGAAUGCAUUGGCCCUGAAAAUGGAUGGCGCUUAAGCGUGUUACCUAUACCUCGCCGUUAGAGUUGUAAUGAUGCUCUAACGAGUAGGCAGGCGUGGGGGUUUGUGACGAAGC